RNAcentral lists this ribosomal RNA (497 nucleotides) under uncultured bacterium. RNAcentral's name for it is "partial 16S ribosomal RNA". It matches the Rfam family "Bacterial small subunit ribosomal RNA", at positions 28 to 507 of the family's 1533-position model. The record is from RNAcentral.
GAUGAACGCUGGCGGCGUGCCUAACACAUGCAAGUCGGGCGAACAGACGUGGAUCUUGCUCCUCUGGCGUUAGCGGCGGACGAGAGAGUAACACGUGGAUAACCACCCUAAAAGACUGGGAUUACUACGGGAAACCGGAGCGAAUACCGGAUAAUAUAAUGAACCGCAUGGUUCACUAGUGACUGACGGUCUUGCUGUCGAUGAUAUAUGGAACCGCGCCGCUGUAGCUUGUGGGUAAGGUAACGGCUUACCACGGCGACGAUGCGUAGCCGACCUGAGAGGGGGAUCGGCGACGCUGGGAGUGAGACACGGUCCAGACUCCGACGGGAGGCCGCAGUAGGGACUCUUCCGCAAUGGGCGAAGGGCUGACGGAGCAACGCGGCGUGGGCUAAGAAGGUCUUGGGGUCGGAAAGCUGUGUGAUUAGGGAAGAACAAAUGUGUAAGUAGCUAUACACGUCUUGACGGUACCUAAUCAGAAAGCCACGGCUAACUACGUG